GGCCGCUCCAGGCCCCGCCCUCGACUCCUCCGUCGCUGCGUCUCCUCCUCCCUCCGGCCGUGGGCGCCUCCGUGCUCCGUCCACGGAAGGACAGGCCCCGCCCCGACUCCCUCGGCGAAGAAGCCCCCGCGGCCGGCCGAUCUCCGUGGACUCCGCAGGAGCGGCCCCGCCCCUCACACUAUGCCGGGCGGUUCCCUCUGAGCCCCGCCGGGACAGCGUCUACGCUGCACACACCACAGAGAAGCCAGAGAACGGUGCCUGCACCGGACACAGCACAACACCAGCACAGGACAGCGUCCACACCACACACACCACAAGUGAGCCUAGGGAGCUGUGUCUACACUGCAGACGUCGGCCUGAGCACACACGUCUUCGUGCAGGCCCAGCAGAGGGGGAAAAACACCUCCCCGAGGGUGGAAGAGUUGUGGCCAGCAGACAGAUGGACGGACAGACGGACACAGGCGAACAGGCAGCCCAGGGGUGAGCUGAGCCGGUCAAAUGGGCCAGGACCCGGCUCCGUGUGUCCUUCACAGUCAGGAUGACAGAACCCCAUGGAAUAUGAAAAAUGCCGGGAGACAGACCCCGGAGGCACAGCCCCUCACCGGGCAGGGAGGCCGCCAGAGGGAAGCGCAGCUCCAGAUCACCAGAGCCCCAUCUGAUUAAGGCAUCGAGAUCAAAGCUCAGCAGAGGGCGGCUCAUGAUGGGCAGCUCAAAAAAAUAAACCCACCAAUCAGAGUCCGUGUUCCUGUGACCGGUGGCGGGUUCGGAUGCAGAGGAGGCUUCUCAGUGCCGUUCCUCAUCUCGGAACCUGCCACCCCACUCAAGCCCGACAUAGGCCGGGACAGCCGGGACGGCCGCAGCGAGGGCAACACGAGGCACAUCGACAUCCUGAGGCCCCCGGGCCUGUCGCCGAGUCCCGGCUUGGGGAGUGUCCCCGGGCCACACUGGUCCUGCUUCCAGCUGUGUGGUCUCCCAGGCGCGUGGCUCCUCCCUCCGGGGCCCAGGCUCUGGUGUGAGCCACUUUUUCCGUAGGAGACGCCCGUGCUUGCAGCUCACGCCUUUGUCUGGUGCCCUGGCCUCACACCUAUAGGAAUUGGGUACCUGGGGGCCUCUUCAUCUUUACUUGUCUCAGCUUAGAGAAGCCCAGCUACACUUCCUCCAUGCCUGGAUUCAUGCACGGCCCCACAGGGUGAGGCCUGGACACCCUCACGGGCACUGGGGCUCCACGGAUGCAGAAGGCAGCCUGGCCCGGUAGCUCGGGGGUCUGAGAUGGAGGUGGAGUAAGACAGAGCGACAAAGGCUGCGUCCUGGAGGCAGGCUCGGAGCCUCCCUGAGGUCACAGAGCCCGCGUGCGCCAGGAAGCCACACCUGCAGGACCCAAGUCAGAACUCAGAGGCUGGUACAGCCGCGGCGCUCGUCGUGUAGAUAAGACUGGCCUCCUCUGGCGGCCAAAGUUAAUUCAACUGACAAUCUUGAUAAGUUGCACAGUUACCUGCUCGGGGACAAAGAAGAUGGGAGCCUUGUUUGUGGUUUCUUCGGGUUCUUUCCUGUGCCCCACAGUCAUUUUAAAAUUAAAUUAAAUGGCUUAUCU
Molecule: long non-coding RNA, 1591 nt
Filed under: Pan troglodytes (chimpanzee)
Lineage: Eukaryota; Metazoa; Chordata; Mammalia; Primates; Hominidae
Description: long non-coding RNA NONPTRT004179
Source: RNAcentral